UAUGUGCUUUACUGUAAGUUGCUCUGGAUAAGAGCGUCUGCUAAAUGACCAAUG
This is a non-coding RNA of Salmo salar (Atlantic salmon), 54 nucleotides long. Lineage: Eukaryota; Metazoa; Chordata; Actinopteri; Salmoniformes; Salmonidae. The record is from Rfam.